GUUCUUGUAGCUAAGUAAAGUGAAUGACUCUUAAUCAUUUGAUGCAAUUUUUGUCGGGGACA
RNAcentral lists this transfer RNA (62 nucleotides) under Solecurtus divaricatus (divaricate short razor). RNAcentral describes it as "tRNA-Lys". It matches the Rfam family "tRNA". Rfam says of the family: Transfer RNA (tRNA) molecules are approximately 80 nucleotides in length. The record is from RNAcentral. Lineage: Eukaryota; Metazoa; Mollusca; Bivalvia; Cardiida; Solecurtidae.